Molecule: long non-coding RNA, 537 nt
Organism: Acinonyx jubatus (cheetah)
Lineage: Eukaryota; Metazoa; Chordata; Mammalia; Carnivora; Felidae
Exons: 3
Source: RefSeq, a predicted model, not a curated record
ACAAAAAGCCCGGGGCUUUGCAAAAACAAUAGCUUAAUCCAGUCGUGUGGCAAGAUCAACCAAAACUAGGAGGGAAAAGAAAUACCGUUUGAAACACUUAAGAGCCAAUCCCUGUGAAUCUGAAAAUGCACAUAUUCUACAAUCCUAAGAGACACUCCAACACCUGCAAAGUCAGGACAAGACUUUUAGGUUCAUCUUCCUGGCUCUCCUCCAGAGGUGUGUGGCAGCAGGCAGAAGUCUGGCAGUGUGGGAGGAGACACACACAGGCCCAGAAGCUAUGGCCCAGAAGCUACGGGAGAUAUCAGUGUAUAGAUGGAGAACUGAGACAUUAAGAGGCUAAAUAAAGUGCCCAAGAUCACAGAGUGAGGUGUGAAGUACAAAUGGAACUCCAAGUCCUCUGAACUCCAAAGCCAGUAUUCUUCACCAGAACAAUCAGAUUGUCUCACCAGGACUUUAUUAUUUUUUUAAUGUCUAUUUAUUUAUUUAUUUAUUUAUUUAUUUAUUUAUUUAUUUAUUUUGAGAGAGAGAGUGCGCAUG